UUGAAGGCGGAAGGAGAGACCACAACUUGUGGCGCCGAAGGAGCAAACCAUUCAGAAUGGUGAAACUCUCAGGCAAAAGGAGGUCCGCUGGACG
This 94-nucleotide non-coding RNA is filed under the name Seinonella peptonophila. RNAcentral's name for it is "Glycine sequence". It matches the Rfam family "Glycine riboswitch aptamer". Rfam says of the family: This family represents the bacterial glycine riboswitch. Lineage: Bacteria; Bacillati; Bacillota; Bacilli; Caryophanales; Thermoactinomycetaceae. The record is from Rfam by way of RNAcentral.